UCUAUGCAGCCUUUAAGAAUGACAAAUAAUAAUAGAAAUAAUUACAAUUAACACUUCUUGAGGGCACACUAUGAAUCAGGCUCAGUUCUGAGUUUUACAUGUAACAAUUUCUUUAUUCCUCAGAGCAUCCCCAUUUCACACAGGAGAAAAUCAAGACACAGAGAGUUUGAUGAAGUUUUGUAAGGUCAUGCAGCCAGGAAGACACUUAUGACAUCUACAUAUUUUUAAGAGAAAAAAGAGUUACAGUGGAGGUCAUCCAUCUGAUUCGUUCUAGGAGAUGUAGAACUUCACAAAAAGCCUUUGAAGUCUCCUUUCCUGCCUUCUAUCAUUUCCUGCCCCUAAAUUCCAAGAAAAGAAAAUGUCACCUCCAUCAGUUCUGGUGUUUCUAGGUUUCUGAAUUGUUCCAAGAUCCUAUACUGCACCAGGACACGGCGUCAGCCACUAGUCUCCAUGAUUUAGCACAGAGGUGAGGUCCUGCUUCUCUUUGACCUCCCUGCUCUGUGCUAGGAGUCUUUGUCAAGGCUUUGUCCUGCUGGUGGCUUCACGUGCCACCUGUGGGGGCUAGCCCUCCCUGAAGUCCUUCUGCCACAACAAAGCAUGGCUGGUGCCCCUGUUGCUG
RNAcentral lists this long non-coding RNA (619 nucleotides) under Vulpes vulpes (red fox). RNAcentral describes it as "lncRNA (ENSVVUG00000007829.1)". Lineage: Eukaryota; Metazoa; Chordata; Mammalia; Carnivora; Canidae. The record is from RNAcentral.